This 794-nucleotide long non-coding RNA is filed under the name Rattus norvegicus (Norway rat). Its description in RNAcentral is "long non-coding RNA NONRATT017725". Lineage: Eukaryota; Metazoa; Chordata; Mammalia; Rodentia; Muridae. The record is from RNAcentral.
GUAGAGGGCGCUUUCUGUGUCUCAACUCAUUUUCUGACCCCACACCUAGAAUUUCCUGUGCCUCUCAAACUAACCGCUUGUUCUCAAGCGGUUUCAGGGUCUGCUUCUAGGAGGACCCGAAGUACAUCAGAACCCUUAGGGGUUCUUCUGUAUUUUACGUCAUCAUAAGCCAUUCUGAACCCUAAGAAAAUGGGUCGCUAUACUUAAUGUCUUAGGAGUGAAAGCGUGGUUCAGUGAUGCUUUAACUUCUGCGUCAUCAGGAGUUCUCUGAGGUUGUUGAAAGUUAAUCUCCUACUGUGUCCCAGGACCUUAGCAAGAUGUGGAAGAGAAUACAUACCAAAGAUUCUCCUGAGGAAAAGCUGUACUCUGCAGGGAUUUACAUAGUGAGGCUCACCGGGCUGUGAACAUUUGGGACAUGAUGACGUGAACAUUAUAUUAUAUUCUUUUCUCUUUCAGGCUUAGGCAUUUAUUGCUCUCCCUGAGAAGACUGGCUUUCCUCAGGUGAAGAACACGUGUGGAUGGGCGAGUCUGAAAGCCAUUUUUAUCUCCUUGGAAGGCAUUUUCAUUCCGUCGUUCAACAAAGGUUUAUUGUACUUUACCAGGCUUUGAGCUUUAGGCUAAGCACCGUGAAACAUUCAUAAACACACACACACACACACACACACACACACACACACACACACACACACACACACACACACGGAUAAAAAGGCACAGUUCCAUCCCAGGGUUAAUGGAUCUGGGAACAGCCAUCGAAAUACCCUUUUACAGGGUUCAUUUGUGUGGUAAUACAU